CCCCUGUCUGCAGCCUGCAGAUUUGGGCGGGUAUGCAUCUAGGACGGUGCUGCACGUGCAGGCCCGCCCACACUGCUUCUCAUUGGUUAGUGGCGUGAAGUCAUGAUGACGUCGAUUAUAGCAAGUUUUCAUUUCCGAUGUUUAUCGCUGCAUGGAAACCAUUUCAGUAUUCACUGAGCUUUCUGACAGCAGGGACCUUUGAUUUUACAGAGGUUAGUGAAAUAGCCUAUACAAUAGAAACCCCCCAUAUAAUUAAAAGUAAACUAACUCAGUAUUAAUUUUUAACUUAGCCUGUCAUACAUCAGUGUCUGCUGCUUUUGGAGAAUUCCCCCUUUGAUGUUUGUUUGUUUGUUUGUUUUCUUUUUUUUUAAUACAUACUGUUCAUUGAAGCUUCAAUUACCAAAUGCUUAAAUUUAGCAUUUUAAAAUAAAUGUUUUUAACUAUAGAUAAAUUCAUUACAUGUAUCAAUCUAAACAAGUGGAUUUCAAUUAUGGUCCUAAGGGAUGUCAAUAAGAACAAACUGUUUUUAUGAGACUUUAUAUUUUAAACUUUUGAAGGUCAGAGAUGCUGAAAGAGCAACUCCAGUAAAAGAGGAGCGUAAAGAAGCAGGUGUUGGUUCCCAUUUCAAAUCUUGAACCUAAAUAACAGGGGUUUGAAAAUGAUGCUACUCUUGUUCUUACUCUCCAAUUUAGAGGUGAUGAAAUCCCCCGGCCUGUGGAUUAUUUGACCAAGAUGCCACCUGACCUUACAUCCUCUGGCAGAUCCUGAUGGGAGUCGUUACAAAGAGGACAAUAUGGCUUUAUGGUGACUUUCACUGACAUGCAAGGUUUUCAGAGACGUUUUCAGCAAGCCCAAGUUCAGAGAAAAGAUCCCCUUUGUAUGUCCAAACAGUAAUUUUUUUUAAUCUAAAUUGUGAGUACUUUAAAAGAUACUUGAGAAAGUCUGUCUGUCUGUCUGUCUGUCCUUCUAUUUCUGUUUGUUCGUUUGUGCAAUCUAUCUAUCUGUCUGUUCUUCCUAUCUAUCUGUCUGUCUAUCUAUCUCUACCUAUCUGUCAUGUCUAUCCGUCCAUCUGUCUGUUUGUCUGUGUCUGAUAGACGGUAUUGCCUUCAAAACUUUCAGCUUGAACUUUGCUGCAAACUGAAAUUCUUCAAACUUCUAUUUCAAACUUUUAGGAUAGGCUUUCUCAAGUCAAAUUUAAGCUUGUGUUGCUUGUGUUAACAAACUUUUUUAACUGGUUUAUGUUGUUCAUAAACAAAAAGUGAGUCUCUUAGGUACUUUACAGACAAAGCCAAUAACACUCAAGCAUAUUUUGUCUAACAUUUUCCUGUAUUAUGUGUAACAUAUACAUAAAAAAAUUCCUUGCAUGACUCUUUACUAUGUUUAUGCCUAUUUCCAAUUUGCCAAUUUCUUCAAAAUGAUUCAAUAUUGUUUGUUCUGUAUUUUAUCUAAAUUAGGUGUUGUGAACUGGAGUGCAUUUUCCAGAAAAUAUGGGCAAGAGCUCCGGGUGCCUUACUCGCCGACUUUGAAAUAUACAAGGACUGCCCACCUGGAUAUGUAGGUGAUGGCAGAAGGGGAGUCCUGAAUGGGUUUUAUAACGACAAGGAGGUUCAGGGCUAUUGCUCAUUUGAUUGUUUUUUCAAUGAUGGAGGGGAA
Non-coding RNA from Paramisgurnus dabryanus, 1653 nucleotides. The record is from RefSeq and is a predicted model, not a curated record. NCBI's taxonomy places the organism in Eukaryota, Metazoa, Chordata, Actinopteri, Cypriniformes, Cobitidae.